RNAcentral lists this long non-coding RNA (7783 nucleotides) under Setaria italica (foxtail millet). RNAcentral describes it as "long non-coding RNA (SITA_LNC002127)". The record is from RNAcentral. Lineage: Eukaryota; Viridiplantae; Streptophyta; Magnoliopsida; Poales; Poaceae.
CAUCCCUCCUCCCUCCUCCCCCCCUACCCCUCACCCCCCGGUGAGUUGCGCGCGUGGUGGGAGAUGUAUGGCGGCAUGGGGUAGCUGGCACGGCUGGAGGAGCGUCUCCUCCUCCUCCACUUGCAGGAGGAGGCUCCCUCCCGUGGAGGAUGGCCACUGCCACGACGGCGCCGCCGUCGCCUCCAUGCGGUACUCUGCCUCCAUCUCCGGCAAGCCUGCGCGGCUUCCGAAUCGAAUCGGAUUCGAGGGUGACUCGGGGCCAUACUUCCAGUAGAGUUCAUUGCCGAACCGGAUCGAAAUCGAGGCCUACAUGGAUUGGAAUCGAGGUUGGUUUCUUGCCUGUAUAUAUAUCUGCGUGUUUGGGUAUCUUUGACGUAUUUUUGCCAUACUGCCAGGAGACCAGGUCCUGCUCGCCGUCGAGAAUCUGGUCAGCAACACACGCUUAGAUCCCCUCCAUCGAUGCCAACAACUCGUGUGGUCUAGCGUUUUCAGCUUCUUACUCUCCUUCGACAAAAGGUACAUAAGCAUUUACUUAUUACGAAGCUAAGCUGGCUUGGCCGCUGUGCUGGACCAUAUACUCCCUUCCUUCUAAUUUACUAUAAGUCCAUCCAUCCAUGUAAAUAUUGUGUACUGCCUGUUGUAAUUCCAUCAGUGGUUCUUAACAAAAACAUUAUUUAUGGGGAUCUCUUACUUAUGUUCCAGUAGAGCAUGGGCAAAUCUCGAUGAUGUUGUUUGAUUUUACAGCGAUAGAGUAAUAUUUGUUAAAAUCCCUCCUAUGUGUAUAAAUUGUCCUGUUGAGAAACAAUAUCCAUCCAACUCAUAUAGCCAGUAUACAUAAUGUGAAUUCUUGCAGUUGUGAGCCUUGUGUAAGGUGUUCAUGUAGUUGGAGGUAUAUAGAAAAGUUUCAAAUUUUCUUGCUCCAGUAGCAUUCUACUUGUACUAUUCAUUUUCAGAUAUACACUACAAGUUUCAAAUUUUGGCAUAAAUCAUCAACUGCUACAUAAUAGAUGAAGUUUCUAGGUUCAUCCCAUAUUGUUACUGAAUAGAGAUUUUUCAAUUUUUCCGCUUUUGCAGAAAAUGGAUUCUUAUAACAUUGAAUCAAACAAUGCUGAUUGUUUAGAUUCUCGACCUUUAAAGAAACCAAAAUGUGAACAGUUGAAUGAUUGCGAUCUGUCACCAUCGCCUCGAUCAUCCACCUACAUUGAAUCAAGCCAUGUUUAUGAUUUAGAUGCUCGGCCCUUGAAGGAAGUAAAAUCUGAACAGAUGAAUGAUCUUGACAUAUCACUGUCGCCUCCCUCACCAACCACCCUGGGAUCAACAUCUCCGGUUAGUGUUUUUCUUGUUCAUUUAAUUUAGUGGAUUGGUUAAAGAUUUGACAAUUUUAAGUUUUUUUUCAGGGAAAUGAUCCUUAUACUAUUGAUUCAAUUGUAGCCGAGAAAGUGGCAUGUUCUGAAUUGAUUGACUUUGAUUCAGAUAAUGACAGAAGAAUUCUAUUAGAUGACGAGAAUCAUCAAAAUCAACAUGAACAAUACAAAGUCGAUCAAACAUAUGACUAUCUCCCACAAGGUAUGUUUCUAUGAAAUUUUUAUUCACUCUUUUAUUGUUUUUAACUUUUAACAUGACCAUAAAUUUUUUGAUUACUUGCAGAUUAUGAAAUGAGAGACCUGGACUACUGUGCUCAAAUAACAAUAGAAACAUCUUCGGAAUUUGAUAUACUUGUGAAGAUAGAUGACAUUUUUGUCACACAAGCUCAAUUGUUAUGCUUGCUAGAUCCAUUAAAAUUCCUAAAUGAUGAUGUAAGUAUAUACAAGUGAAUGCUCUUUGAUCAACAUUUUUUUCUUUUGUAAUAAAGGUUUUUUAUUUGAAUCUUUGUAGGUCAUCAGCGCGUAUAUAUGUUGCAUAAAGGAUCAAGCCCAUUUAGAAAGUAGGAAUGAUGUUAAAUUUUACUUUGAGAAUCCCUUUAUUUCUGUAAUGCUUAAAAGGGAUGGCAAGCUUGGAGUUGGUCAAGAUGGUAACCAUAUCACAAAGAUUGUGAGAAACUAUCUAAAGCAUGAAAUGGUAUUUUCUAUCUCUAUAAUUGACAUGUUCUAAGCUUUCUAGAUUUUAAUUUCUAACAGUUCAUGUCUUGUACUAAUUCAUUUUUUCAUUUUAGGUUCUAAUUCCAAUAAAUAUCAAAGAAUUACAUUGGUAUUUGGCUAUUAUUAACACACUGAAGUGUGAAAUACAAGUACUUGACUCGUUGUGUUGGGACUCCAACCGAGGUGACCUCAUCGAUUCGGUCAGUUUCUAUAGUUAUCAUACUUCUUUGAUAUUACAAAUUGAUGCUACACUUAAAUGCAUUUUUUAUGAUAUUAAUAAUUUAACAGCUGCAAGGACUACAAUAUCAUUUGAACAUAAUUGGAAAGCAACAAAACAUGAUUAGCCAUAAGUGGAAAGACCUCCAGAUUAUUUCAUGGAAAAUCACAGAACAACUACAAGAGCCAAUGCAGAAAGAUGGGUAUGUUGCAAAAAAAUAUGCUAACAUAUAUAAGAUUUUUUUUUCUUGUUUGGAGUACUCAUUGUUUUAUAACCAUGCAGCUCAUCUUGUGGACUGUUCAUGCUCAAGUUUAUGGAAUAUUGGACUGGAGAAUCACUAUCUCAUCCUGUUACACAGGUUUUUGUUUCUUAUCUUAUUGAAUAAUAUAAAUUCAAUGCCAUGCUAAUUUUUUUCAAGUUGUAAUAAUGAUUGCUACAAUGCAGGAAGAUAUUAAUUGUUUUAGAUACAAGUUAGCAGGCAUUUUAUUAUAUUGGAAAACAAACAUAGCACAAACAACUCCUCAAAAUAUCUCACUGUUGGGAAGUUCAGAUGACCAAAAAGAACCCAAGUCAUCUGUUUCAUUAUCAGAGGAAACAAAAUACCAAUCAUUAUUGUCUGUUCUUUCUAAGAUCAGUGUAAAUGAGUUAGUUGGCUGCCUUUGUGACUACAUCAAAUCAAUUAAUUGUCCAGAGACCUUGGAGUAAGAACCUUCUUAUUACUACUGUGUAUAUUUUGUUAAUAGAAUAAUACAAUGUUCUUUCAACUGUUUCUUGUUUAUUUGUGUGUGUGUUCCCAUAUACCAUGUUGCAAGUUUCUGGUGUAUUGUUCCUCCUGUCAUGUUUUGUAUAUUUUGUUAUUAGUAUAAUGGAUAUUUAUACUUUCGAUUGUGUAAAGCAAACUUUUUGUCUUAAUGCAGAGAAGUAUGGGUGCGAAACUCCAAGCCAUAUUCCAUUAGCUUGACUCUCAGGAAGCUGCAAGAAAUACUAAAUGAAGAUAUGCCCAUGGACCGUGAUUGUUUCAAUUUGGUUAUUCGAAAAUUCAUGUUUGACGACAUCCAAAUGAUGAAGAAAACCAAAGGAACAAUAUCAAAGCAUUAUCUAGACACGCGAUUUUGGGUAUGCUCUUAUAAUCGUAAUGUAAAUAUAUUUUUUUUUGUCCUCAGGUUUUUAACCACUUUUUUAUUUCAUAGCUGAUUACUGAUUUUGGACGACACCCAAAUUUCCGUAAAAAGAUAGACGUGGAACAACUCGCAGAAACUGUUAGUAGCUGGCCUGGUGUUAAUUAUAAUUUGUCAAGAUGCAAAUUGGUAAGACAUCACUUCCCUAUACCUAUAAGCACAACCUAUAAGCACAGUUUUUUCGAUUAUAGCUACUAGCCGUCUUGUACAUUUUAAUGAUCUUGUUCUAACAAUUAGCAUUUUGCAGAUUUUUAUACCAAUAGUACAAUUCAACAAAACCUUUAUUCUACUUAUACUAAACCAAGAUAAAAGAACCGUCUAUAUUUUAGACCCUACUCCACUUGACCCUGUUUACAAAUACAACCCAAAUGCAAGAUAUGUGAAGAAACUUUUAUGUAUUGCUGAAUUCUUGCCAAAAGCCAUGUCAAAAGUAUGCCCUGGAUCUAGAUGGAAUGAGGAUGUUUUCCUAUGGCGUCAAAUAAUCUUAUCUGAUGUUCCAAUUGAAAGCAAGUAAGCAUUCUUAUUAGCAUUGUUCAGAUGUAGUAGCUCAGGAUAGAGUUGAAGUGUGAUUUAUAAGUCUCAUUCGCCGUGUAUAACAUUUGAAGUUAACUCAGUAAGGACAAGUUAUCUGGGCGGUAUAGUGUAGGAUACUGUUAAACUUGUCAGAACUACUAUUUGCCAAAAUUAUUAGAAAAAUGUGUGUAGCUAUAAACUUAUAGGUUGAAAGAAAGGGUUCCUAAUUUUCUGGCAUAUAUCAGCUGAGUUAUGUUAAUGUGAUGUAACGCAUGCUUGCAUAGCGUCCAAAGUAUAAAGGCAAACUCAUUACAAAAAUAUUGAAUAGGCAUUAAGCCAACAAUGGUAGCAUUACUUUUAAAAAUCAUGUCAGUGCAACCAUUUUUUACUCGAUCAACCACACUAUUUGUUUUCUGGUAUAAGCAAAAUAGAGGAAUAAAUACCAUUCAUUUGAUAGAAUAGUAGAGCUACCCUGGCUGUGUUCAUCCCUGAAGCUAGCAGAAUCUCUGUUUUUCAACAUAGAUGCAGCGCUGCAGUUGUUUAGAUUUUCAUUGGUUUAUCCUGAAAUUGCUUGUGUCUGUAUGCGUUAUGGCUGCUAGGAUAUGCUUCAUAUGGUAGAAUUGGAUUUUGUUUUGACCUGUGCACUAUGUCGCAUAAAAUCCUGAAUGUAUUAGCAUAUGUAUAACACUGCAACCCAAGGCCAAUUCAAUUUAGCACCUCAGCUCUUCAUAGUUGGAAGCAAGCUUCUUAGACAAAAAGGAAAGCAAAUUCUAAAUUACUAUAAGUCCAUCCAUCCAUGUAAAUAUUGUGUACUGCCUGUUGUAAUUCCAUCAGUGGUUCUUAACAAUAAUUAUGGGAAAAUUUCUGAAAACUAAUGAGAGUUGCAUGUGUACUCAUCGAAAAAUACGAAACUCAUUCUCGGUCAUCAUUCUUUAUUAAAUAUGCUUUAAUAGUUUGACACUUUUGUCAAUUCCUAAACAUUCUAUUGCACAGGCCAUAUUGCCAGUGCAUGCGGAUGCUUCACAUUGGACAGUUGCACUUUAAGUGUUCAGUAUAUAGGUCAAGUUCUGAUUUCUCUUUUCCAAUGCAUUUAUAAUAGGCAUAGCCUCAGAAGGGUGAGAUGAGAUGAUGUAUUUUUUGUAGGAAUACUUAUUAUUCGCUCAUUUAUAAUUUCUAUCAUCAGCUAAGUGAGAUGAUGUAUUUUUUGAACUGCUAUGUAUACCGUACUGGUCGUACGUCCAUAAUUUUGUAGUUUGUUUACUGUUAUCACAUAUUUUGAGUUUAACAAUCCAACCUCUGCCAUAGAAGACUCGUGCGCUUCUCUGUGAAUGAAACCCCAGCGCCCUGCAAUAGAUGCCUUUCCUGACCAACAAGCCUUUAUUUUACUCUUAUUAACUUAUUGGUUUAUCCUGAAAUUGCUUGUGUCUGUAUGCGUUAUGGCUGCUAUGAUAUGCUUCAUAUGGUAGAAUUGGAUUUUGUUUUGACCUGUGCACUAUGUCGCAUAAAAUCCUGAGUGUAUUAGCAUAUGUAUAACACUGCAACAGAAGGCCAAUUCAAUUUAGCACCUCAGCUCUUCAUAGUUGCAAGCAUCCUUCUUAGACAAAAAGGAAAGCAAAUUCUUGUUUUGAUGGACCUAUGUAGUAACCCUUUUGUUUAUUUUACUAUUGGUUAUAUUCUCUACCCAAAACAUGCACAUCUGUUUAAGCAAAAGUAGUUCAGUCUUCAGUGUUGAACAUAUUAUGAAAUUUUUUGUAUUAGAAUAGUCACUGUUUUUCUUAUCUUAUCAGGGAACUAUCCGGUUAUCUUGUUUCUCUCUUCAUGUGCAUAUGGAAAGAUGAAGAACUACAGUUGCCAGUUUUAAAGGUCAGUCUCAUGUCAACUUCAAAUAUUACUAUUUAUUAUUAACACACUUUUAUGGCGCUAAUUAUUAAUUAUUUGCAUACAUCUAUGCAUGUACAGGAUGGCUACGAACUAAGAAAACAAUUUAUGGCACAACUAUUAACUUACAAGGAGAAUGAAUGUGAAGACAAUAUGCCUGCUGGUGUUCGAGACUUUCUUAGGUGUAUCAAUGCUACUCAAAGUUAGAAGUAGUUAUGCAAGCACAGAGAAUAUAUGAGAUCAUGUUGAAACGGUUCUAUUAUUACCGUUGAACAUUUUUUGUUUGUAGGAAUACUUAUUAUUACAUUGAGCACAGAAAGUCGUUUCUAAUCCACAGAAUUGAAUGUCAAGAUUUAUCAUGGAGUCUUCUAUCAUAGGGUAUCAAUUCUGUAUUUCUGUAUAGCAAAUUGUUUUGCAUACUUGUACUCUGGCCACUGAUUUAUCAUUACGUGAACAGAGGCCGUGAGAGAUGAAUCUAACAAAUAAUGGUGUAUCUGAUAUCUAUGAAAUCAUGUGUCUGUUAGAGCUUCGAAAUCCUCAUUGUAGAACCUGCGGCAGCAGAAUAUGAGCCAAGCCUAAAAUAUAUUGUAAAAAACAAAAUUGACUGUGAUGAAAAUAAAGCAACGAGAGAUGGGAAAAGCUAUACUUUUAAGCCUGUUUAACAGUUAAUAUCUGGUGAACUCUGCUGGUUGGCUUGACCAAAAAUGGUUUUGGAGAUAGUUGGAUCCUAGCCUUUUCAGUUUCAGAAAGAGGUUUGUCUGGAAAACCGAAGCAGAAUGUAAGAAUCGACAAUGGAGGCAUAUCUGAAGGCAUAGAAUCACCAUGCAAGUAAACGGUGAGGUUCAACCUCUCAAGAGUGCUCAAAAGUUGAACGGCCUACUAAUAUGAUAUGCAACAAGAAUUGAUUAGUCUUGUCCAGCCCAACUAUGUUCAAACGAUUUGGCCAACGCCCCACAAAACUAUAUACAUUCAAGCCCAUAAACAAAAGCGGCCCAAAACAGCCCAAAAGCCCAACAGCCGACCCAUUACUCCGCGUCGAUCUGCGCCAGAUCGGACGGACCCUAGAUCAUUUUCCCCUCCGGGCUUCUCGCGUGAGGGAGGAGAGAGCCGCCGGCGGGCGAUGGCGUGUGGUCACCGAGUAUUGUCGCGCCGCCGUGGGCCCUCUCGCCGGGACUUGCUUGCGGCUUUAGCUGCGCGCAGCUCCGUCGAGGGGCUCCUCGGUGGCACGAGCACGAGUUUGUGUCUAUCCGGAGCAGCCGACGAGGCCGGCGCUGCCGCCGGGGAUUUCCCGUCCGCUCGCGUCGCCGCGAUGGAGCCCUCCGGAUCCCACCUUCGCCCUACACCCCAUGUCCAGCAACGACAUCCCGUCGCCGAUCUGAGGGCCCCAUCGCUCCUCCCUCCUCCCCCCCUACCCCUCACCCCCUGGUGAGUUGCGCGCGGGGGGUGAAAUGUAUGGCGGCAUGGUGCAACUGGCACGGCUGGAGGAGCGUCUCCUCCUCCUCCACUUGCAGGAGGAGGCUCCCUCCCGUGGAGGAUGGCCACGGCCACGACGGCGCCGCCGACGCCUCCAUGCGGUACUCUGCCUUCAUCUCCGGCAAGCCUGCGCGGCUUCCGAAUCGGAUCGGAUUCGAGGGUGACUCGGGGCCAUACUUCCAGUAGAGGUCGUUGCCGAACCGGAUCGAAAUCGAGGCGUACCUGGAUUGGAAUAGAGGUUGGUUUCUUGCCUGUAUACAUAGCUGCGUGUUUGUGUAUCUUUGACGUGUUUGUGCCAUACUGCCAAGAGUCCAGGUCCUGCUCGCCGUCUAGAAUCUGCUCAGCAACACACGCUUAGAUCCCCUCCAUCAACGCCAUCAACUCGUGUGGUCUAGCGUGUUCAGCUUGUUACUCUCCUUCGACAAAAGGUACAUAAGCAUUUACUU